GACGAACGCUGGCGGCGUGCCUAAUACAUGCAAGUAGAACGCUGAAGGAGGAGCUUGCUUCUCUGGAUGAGUUGCGAACGGGUGAGUAACGCGUAGGUAACCUGCCUGGUAGUGGGGGAUAACUAUUGGAAACGAUAGCUAAUACCGCAUAAUAGCAGUUGUUGCAUGAUAACUGUUUGAAAGGUGCAAUUGCACCGCUACCAGAUGGACCUGCGUUGUAUUAGCUAGUUGGUGGGGUAACGGCUCACCAAGGCGACGAUACAUAGCCGACCUGAGAGGGGGAUCGGCCACACUGGGACUGAGACACGGCCCAGACUCCUACGGGAGGCAGCAGUAGGGAAUCUUCGGCAAUGGACGGAAGUCUGACCGAGCAACGCCGCGUGAGUGAAGAAGGUUUUCGGAUCGUAAAGCUCGGUUGUAAGAGAAGAACGAGUGUGAGAGUGGAAAGUUCACACUGUGACGGUAUCUUACCAGAAAGGGACGGCUAACUACGUG
This 495-nucleotide ribosomal RNA is filed under the name uncultured bacterium. RNAcentral describes it as "partial 16S ribosomal RNA". It matches the Rfam family "Bacterial small subunit ribosomal RNA", at positions 28 to 507 of the family's 1533-position model. The record is from RNAcentral.